RNAcentral lists this ribosomal RNA (253 nucleotides) under uncultured bacterium. RNAcentral describes it as "partial 16S ribosomal RNA". It matches the Rfam family "Bacterial small subunit ribosomal RNA", at positions 524 to 776 of the family's 1533-position model. The record is from RNAcentral.
UACGGAGGGGGCUAGCGUUGUUCGGAAUUACUGGGCGUAAAGCGCACGUAGGCGGCUUUGUAAGUUAGAGGUGAAAGCCCGGGGCUCAACUCCGGAAUUGCCUUUAAGACUGCAUCGCUAGAAUUGUGGAGAGGUAAGUGGAAUUCCGAGUGUAGAGGUGAAAUUCGUAGAUAUUCGGAAGACCACCAGUGGCGAAGGCGGCUUGCCAGAACGCGCUCGACGGUGAGGGAUGAAAGCUGGGGGAGCAAACCGG